GUAUCUUCUCAGCCUUUUGGCUAAGAUCAAGUGUAGUAUCUUCCCUUGAGCUUUAAUUAAAGAAUGGGAAAAUAGAGAGGACUGAUAUCAUUGAUAUAUGAUAACCACAUAUCCCACACAGGAGAAGAUAUAUUUCACUGAUUUGUUAUCUUCAUGUUGGAAAAGACACACCAUUUCUUUCCUGUCAAGUUAGC
Molecule: small nuclear RNA, 194 nt
Organism: Candoia aspera
Lineage: Eukaryota; Metazoa; Chordata; Lepidosauria; Squamata; Candoiidae
Product: U2 spliceosomal RNA
Exons: 1
Source: RefSeq, a predicted model, not a curated record